RNAcentral lists this long non-coding RNA (585 nucleotides) under Homo sapiens (human). RNAcentral describes it as "non-protein coding lnc-ZNF202-1:3". Lineage: Eukaryota; Metazoa; Chordata; Mammalia; Primates; Hominidae. The record is from RNAcentral.
GUGUUCCGACCCGCUAGGCCCCGCGCGGCUCGGAUCCGGCGGCGCUGUUUCGGUCGGGAGUGGGUGGGAGAGAAGCCGGGGCAGGGGAGGAGCCGCCGGAGCUGUCGGAGCCGUGACACCCAGGGCAGCUACACUCAGAAGCCACAAGGAAUGCUAGUGGAGCCCCUCAUCCCUCCCAGCUUCUCUUCCAAGCUGCCCCGUGGGGCUUGAUCCAGGAAGCUACUUCAGAAAGGUUGUGGGAUAGCCUUGGGAGGAGGUUUGUUGGUGGGAAGCGUGUGAACGCGGAGCAGUCUGGGAUAACUUUCUGCUGUUACUAUCUAGCAUAAGAGGGUGGGCAGGGUUGGAGAGAGGACAGGAAUUUUUCCUCCUAGGACCAAACGCCUGGGAUUCAUAAUCUUUCACCCUUUCUCCUCCAGCUAUACCCUUUUUGUACUCUGUGUAUAUACUAUAUUGCAGUAGACAAUCAUUCCAAGGGUACAACAAGGUUUACCACAAUGUGAGGGACUCAGCCAUUGCAAAUUCUCUAGAUGGUGUGAGACCACCCCAAAGCCAAGAAAUGGCUACAGCCGUGGAACCAGAGGACCA